CCCUGUCCCAGGUUAAGCCCGCAGGUCACCAUGGAAAUUGAUGCAUUCCUCGUCUUGCUGGGGUGGCAAGCAGCUCUAUUGCGAGAUCUUCAUAACUUGCUGCAGGACUGUAACUCGUCUCAUCACACCUGAGACAGAGAUCUUGUAUUCAGAUGACCUUUUAUUUCCUCAAAUUAAAGGAGAAAAAAAGCAACAGACAUGGAGUAAACAGGUGAAAGAACAUGGUUUGACCUUAAGGGUAGAGCAUGAGUGACAUGAAAGGAGGAAGGAAUGACUCACACGGGCAUGAAGAUGGAUGAGUUUGCUACUGGUUUAAUAUUACCUGUGCAGCCCUAACGCAGGCAUAGGACAGACCUCCAUGUAUCAUAUCAACUUCACAGACUGCUGGAAAAACUGAUGCUGACUUUCAGAAAGGUUCUGGAUUCCGUGAGAACAUGACUAGGCCAUGUGGGACUGGCAGAAGGAGCCAGGCCAUGUGGGCUGCCAAAACGUUGGAAGCACCAAACUUCGUUUUCUGUUUUCAGGAGCUGCAUCUGCUAAAGCCUUCCCUUGUGACCUUGACCUUAGACUACAUCUGAACUUUGAGACCCAGGAAGACUGCAGGAUUUUUAGCUUACAUGUUGGAUAUGGUCAUGUCUUAGCUCCAUAUCUGGUUUAGUCCUUGGUGUGAUAUGUUCUCCUACCAGUUCCAAUUUCCAAAAACUGGAGGACAGGUCUAGCCACACUGUGGAUUAACAGAUCACUUUGGUGGCAGCCUAAAUCAGCUUUUUUUUGUUUUGGUUCUCAAUAGAAAAAAUAAAAAUACAAAAUAGAAAUGAUAAUUUUUAACU
Molecule: long non-coding RNA, 830 nt
Filed under: Zonotrichia albicollis (white-throated sparrow)
Lineage: Eukaryota; Metazoa; Chordata; Aves; Passeriformes; Passerellidae
Description: lncRNA (ENSZALG00000008713.1)
Source: RNAcentral